AGUCGAGCGGUAGCACAGAGAGCUUGCUCUCGGGUGACGAGCGGCGGACGGGUGAGUAAUGUCUGGGAAACUGCCUGAUGGAGGGGGAUAACUACUGGAAACGGUAGCUAAUACCGCAUAAUGUCGCAAGACCAAAGUGGGGGACCUUCGGGCCUCAUGCCAUCAGAUGUGCCCAGAUGGGAUUAGCUAGUAGGUGGGGUAACGGCUCACCUAGGCGACGAUCCCUAGCUGGUCUGAGAGGAUGACCAGCCACACUGGAACUGAGACACGGUCCAGACUCCUACGGGAGGCAGCAGUGGGGAAUAUUGCACAAUGGGCGCAAGCCUGAUGCAGCCAUGCCGCGUGUGUGAAGAAGGCCUUCGGGUUGUAAAGCACUUUCAGCGGGGAGGAAGGCGAUAAGGUUAAUAACCUUGUCGAUUGACGUUACCCGCAGAAGAAGCACCGGCUAACUCCGUGCCAGCAGCCGCGGUAAUACGGAGGGUGCAAGCGUUAAUCGGAAUUACUGGGCGUAAAGCGCACGCAGGCGGUCUGUCAAGUCGGAUGUGAAAUCCCCGGGCUCAACCUGGGAACUGCAUUCGAAACUGGCAGGCUAGAGUCUUGUAGAGGGGGGUAGAAUUCCAGGUGUAGCGGUGAAAUGCGUAGAGAUCUGGAGGAAUACCGGUGGCGAAGGCGGCCCCCUGGACAAAGACUGACGCUCAGGUGCGAAAGCGUGGGGAGCAAACAGGAUUAGAUACCCUGGUAGUCCACGCCGUAAACGAUGUCGAUUUGGAGGUUGUGCCCUUGAGGCGUGGCUUCCGGAGCUAACGCGUUAAAUCGACCGCCUGGGGAGUACGGCCGCAAGGUUAAAACUCAAAUGAAUUGACGGGGGCCCGCACAAGCGGUGGAGCAUGUGGUUUAAUUCGAUGCAACGCGAAGAACCUUACCUGGUCUUGACAUCCACAGAACUUUCCAGAGAUGGAUUGGUGCCUUCGGGAACUGUGAGACAGGUGCUGCAUGGCUGUCGUCAGCUCGUGUUGUGAAAUGUUGGGUUAAGUCCCGCAACGAGCGCAACCCUUAUCCUUUGUUGCCAGCGGUCCGGCCGGGAACUCAAAGGAGACUGCCAGUGAUAAACUGGAGGAAGGUGGGGAUGACGUCAAGUCAUCAUGGCCCUUACGACCAGGGCUACACACGUGCUACAAUGGCAUAUACAAAGAGAAGCGACCUCGCGAGAGCAAGCGGACCUCAUAAAGUAUGUCGUAGUCCGGAUUGGAGUCUGCAACUCGACUCCAUGAAGUCGGAAUCGCUAGUAAUCGUAGAUCAGAAUGCUACGGUGAAUACGUUCCCGGGCCUUGUACACACCGCCCGUCACACCAUGGGAGUGGGUUGCAAAAGAAGUAG
RNAcentral lists this ribosomal RNA (1377 nucleotides) under bacterium. RNAcentral describes it as "bacterial SSU rRNA". It matches the Rfam family "Bacterial small subunit ribosomal RNA", at positions 60 to 1429 of the family's 1533-position model. The record is from RNAcentral.